Molecule: non-coding RNA, 409 nt
Organism: Pseudonaja textilis
Lineage: Eukaryota; Metazoa; Chordata; Lepidosauria; Squamata; Elapidae
Source: RefSeq, a predicted model, not a curated record
UCUGAAUCUUAGAGGGAUCGAGAAAUCCGCCCCAUAGUUACUCUUGACUUUGCAUGGGGGAAGAUCCAAGAAUGGGGCAGGGGAGAGGAGAGAAAUAAGCUUAAAGGAACCACCUGCUCACAUCUCUUUCAGAUUCCGGUUCCGGGACUGCAAGGAUAUUUGGAGAGGCAGCAGAGCCAUCGCGGAGGCCAGUGGCUGGAAGAUCCCUUCUGAGCCUGGCAGGAGAGAAGAAGCAGGAAGGGCCCCAGGUUCUGAGGUCCUUCCAUGGAUGGGGAGUAAUUAGGUGGAUCGCACAAAUCUUUCUCCUGAUCUGUCUUUCAGAGGGAUCCCCAAGGAUAGAAGUCAAGUUCAGGAUACUUCACUAGGAAGAAAUUCUUAAUUUGUUCCUUCAAGCUAGAAUAUAUGAAGU